Molecule: long non-coding RNA, 1348 nt
Filed under: Carassius auratus (goldfish)
Lineage: Eukaryota; Metazoa; Chordata; Actinopteri; Cypriniformes; Cyprinidae
Description: lncRNA (ENSCARG00000004418.1)
Source: RNAcentral
AUGUUUAGAUGACAUGACCCUUUAAAACCCCAAAUAGAAACUGUAUUAAAUAUAUGCAUGCAUUAAUAUUAUAGUAGAACAUUGGAGAAAAAAGCUUUAAGAAAUAAGCAGCUUUAUUAAGCAUUUUUCUGCCCAAGACACAAAAAAAGCAUUCACAAAAUUCACAUUUACAUGUAUUAAUUGGCCAGACACUUUAAUCUGAAGUGACUUACAGUGCUCUUAUUACAGGAUCUCAAUCCCUCUGGAGUCACCUGGAGUAAAGACACACCGGUGGAGAUUGAACCAGAAACUGCUCACCAGUUCAGUUCACUAAAUCACAGAAAUAAUGAAGCUUUAUCAAAUUAACAUGCAAUUGUCGUGGUGCUCAUGGAGAGCAGACACAGCAGCAGUCAGAUCGUCCCGCACAUGUUCUCCUGCUCUUGUUCAGGGUUGUGUGGUUCAGGGUCUUCAUCAUGGUCUUCCUCAUCCUCUCUGUGCACUCAGACAAGGACAGCCUCGAUGUCUCUCUGUCAUCAUGAUCAGAUUCAGUCUGACUGCAGCAGUGAGAACCCUGAUGGACAGAUGUGGGUUCACCGUCUGUAAACAUUCAAAUAAAGAACAAUUUCUGAAUAAAGCUUUGAAGGGUUUUGAAGGGUUGAAGGGUUUAAUCUUCAAGGAUUAAACUGUGGGUCAUUUCAAUAGAGUUAAAACGUAAAAACAACACAAAUAUAUUGAUUAAACUACAAUAACAAUAAAAGGGCAUUUGUGUAUUCAACAAGACCGACCACAAAAGGAGCAAAUUGGAUCAACAUCAAAAUAUUUAGGUAGUAAAUAUUAAACCUGUAGCAGUCAGUCAUAUAUUUGAAGUUGUUAUAACGUCAUAGGUCACAUGAUAACGUAAACAUGGCGGAAUUCAUUCAUACUCAACGAGAUUUGGCUGUAGAGUACUACUCUUUUAGCGCUCGUUAAGUAAGUACUUAAAUUUAGUACCUACUCGUUAAGUUUGCGAUUUCGGACGCAGCCACAGUGUUUCGGGAGACGGAUUAGCAACAACUGUACCGUAGGUGCAACUAUCAUGGGUGAAAGUACAGAUGGAGACAGUGAGGGUAUGCCUUGGCAGGAUGUGUCAAGGAAAAGGAAAGAUAGGAGUAAUAGCUCUGGAAUUUCAAAUAUAGGGCUGGAGGUGAGUGACGUCAGCAAAAAAACAAAGGCUGCAAAGUCGAGCGUGAGAAGGGAGGAUGAAGAAAUGGAAUGGAAAGUAAUGGUAACAUUCAAAAGAGAAGGGGUUCAUUUUCAUCCGUUAAAAUUGACAAAAGCUAUUGAAAAAGAAAUGGGAAAAAUAAAGUUUGCCAAGUAUUUAAGUAACAGG